This 446-nucleotide ribosomal RNA is filed under the name uncultured bacterium. RNAcentral describes it as "bacterial SSU rRNA". It matches the Rfam family "Bacterial small subunit ribosomal RNA", at positions 28 to 457 of the family's 1533-position model. The record is from RNAcentral.
GAUGAACGCUGGCGGCGUGCUUAACACAUGCAAGUCGAACGGGAAAUAUUUCAUUGAGACUUCGGUGGAUUUGAUCUAUUUCUAGUGGCGGACGGGUGAGUAACGCGUGGGUAACCUGCCUUAUACAGGGGGAUGACAGUCAGAAAUGGCUGCUAAUACCGCAUAAGCGCACAGAGCUGCAUGGCUCAGUGUGAAAAACUCCGGUGGUAUAAGAUGGACCCGCGUUGGAUUAGCUUGUUGGUGGGGUAACGGCCCACCAAGGCGACGAUCCAUAGCCGGCCUGAGAGGGUGAACGGCCACAUUGGGACUGAGACACGGCCCAGACUCCUACGGGAGGCAGCAGUGGGGAAUAUUGCACAAUGGGGGAAACCCUGAUGCAGCGACGCCGCGUGAAGGAAGAAGUAUCUCGGUAUGUAAACUUCUAUCAGCAGGGAAGAUAGUGACGG